RNAcentral lists this long non-coding RNA (467 nucleotides) under Gallus gallus (chicken). Its description in RNAcentral is "lncRNA (ENSGALG00010014259.1)". Lineage: Eukaryota; Metazoa; Chordata; Aves; Galliformes; Phasianidae. The record is from RNAcentral.
UGAACACUUGGCAGGUGUUCCUCUUUCUCUGUUGUGGAGUUUAGGCACAUAGUUUUCCAAGAAAAUCAUAGUUUGGGGUGGAAUAAGGCCUUUCUUUCCUUGGAGCUGCACAAGCACAACAGCUCAGAAGCCAAGAGAUUGCUAGUUGUGGUGCAAACAGAAGUGCUCAACUUCUUCUCUGGAUGCAGCCAAAACCAGAGUGACACUUACUUUGGAUAUUCUGCUGCAUUAUGGAAGUAGACAGAUAAGGAAGUUUAGACAAUAAGAUCCUUCAUCCUUAUGGUGAUUAUUGCUCCCCCUAUUCAUCACAAGGCCAAAGUGGUGCACAAGAUAGACCUCCUAAUCAAAUUAAUUACUCAGUAGAAUUGGAAUACAAAAUACCCACGCGCGCUUAAAUGAAGAGAACCAAAACAUAUCAUCAUACCAGAUGCUCUGAAGAAAAUAAUUACGUCCCAGCUGAAACUAAC